GGUUUCUUGUAAUUAUUUAGGAGAUCUGACCUGCCCACUGAAAAUAUUUUGAAGGGCCGCAGUAUUUUGACUGUGCAAAGGUAGCAUAAUCAUUAGUCUUUUAAUUGAAGGCUGGUAUGAAUGGUUGGAUGAGGUAAAUUCUGUUUUAUGUUAAUUGAUGUUGAAUUUAGAUUUUAAGUAAAAAUACUUAAAUGUUAUUAAGGGACGAGAAGACCCUAUAGAGUUUAAUAAAUAUAAUAAUUAAUUGAGUUAAAGUUUAAUUUUUGGUUUUUAUGUAAUUUAUUUAAUUGGGGUGAUUGGAAGAUAAAAUAAACUCUUCUUUAUAUUUAAUAAAUUAAUUAGUUAUAUGAUCCAUAUUUAAUGAUUAAAAGAUUAAAUUACCUUAGGGAUAACAGCAUAAUUCUUUUUAAGAGUUCAUAUCGAAAAAAGAGAUUGUGACCUCGAUGUUGGAUUAAGAUUAGUUAUGGGUGCAGAUGUUCAAGAACUAGGUCUGUUCGACCUUGAAAAUCUU
Molecule: ribosomal RNA, 511 nt
Filed under: Tenodera sinensis (Chinese praying mantis)
Lineage: Eukaryota; Metazoa; Arthropoda; Insecta; Mantodea; Mantidae
Description: partial large subunit ribosomal RNA
Rfam family: Bacterial large subunit ribosomal RNA
Source: RNAcentral